RNAcentral lists this ribosomal RNA (450 nucleotides) under uncultured bacterium. RNAcentral describes it as "partial 16S ribosomal RNA". It matches the Rfam family "Bacterial small subunit ribosomal RNA", at positions 354 to 796 of the family's 1533-position model. The record is from RNAcentral.
GUGGGGAAUCUUCCGCAAUGGACGAAAGUCUGACGGAGCAACGCCGCGUGAGUGAUGAAGGUCUUCGGAUUGUAAAGCUCUGUUAAUCGGGACGAAAGAGCCUAGUGUGAAUAAUGCUAGGAAGCGACGGUACCGGAAUAGAAAGCCACGGCUAACUACGUGCCAGCAGCCGCGGUAAUACGUAGGUGGCAAGCGUUGUCCGGAAUUAUUGGGCGUAAAGCGCGCGCAGGCGGAUCUGCCAGUCUGUCUUAAAAGUUCGGGGCUUAACCCCGUGAUGGGAUGGAAACUACAGAUCUAGAGUAUCGGAGAGGAAAGUGGAAUUCCUAGUGUAGCGGUGAAAUGCGUAGAUAUUAGGAAGAACACCAGUGGCGAAGGCGACUUUCUGGACGAAAACUGACGCUGAGGCGCGAAAGCCAGGGGAGCGAACGGGAUUAGAAACCCCAGUAGUCC